RNAcentral lists this transfer RNA (72 nucleotides) under Capra hircus (goat). It matches the Rfam family "tRNA". Rfam says of the family: Transfer RNA (tRNA) molecules are approximately 80 nucleotides in length. Their secondary structure includes four short double-helical elements and three loops (D, anti-codon, and T loops). The record is from Rfam by way of RNAcentral. RNAcentral also lists the same sequence under 1 other name. Lineage: Eukaryota; Metazoa; Chordata; Mammalia; Artiodactyla; Bovidae.
UCCCUGGUAAGUCCAGUGCUAAGACUCCACACUAUCAAUGCAGGGCCCCAGGUUCAAUCCCUGGUCAGGGAA